CUCUGCAAUAGGAUAAUAAGAUACUCUGUCUAAUAAUUUACUAACUACGAUCAAUAUUUAUAAUACGUCUCGAUAUCUUAUAUCUUAUGCUUCGAUUCUAGAGACCGAACUAAACGAGAUCAACUUAUUUAUCAAGUCACAAGUAUCUUUUUGUAUAACUUAUUUUGUUCUAGAAUCCGUUCAACAAAGGUACAUAAAUGUAUAAACACCGUGUAUACACGAGGCCAGCGAACCGAUGAAGUCAUCUCCAGCGUGGAAUCGGUUGCCAGGCGCAUCCUUUACUUUCGAACCGCCUUACAAGGAAUCACGGUAUACACAGUUGUUCUCGUAAUCGAGUCGAAACGCGCUUCGUUGUCAUCAUCGUCGAAACCGCGAUAUUUACGUGGAAAAGGCUGUGAUGAAGGCACGCGACAUCCCGAGGCUGCGUCGGUGGGAACCGGGCCAAGAUCGUUGGAUGGCCGACCCGUGGCAUCGAUCUUCCAUCGUGGAGGCGCGCGAAUCGCGACCACGUGGGCCAAUCGCGCAACAGCGCGACAACGGAGAAAAGAAAACCCAACGAUUUUCGCCGCGAUUUUUUCGCAACGAUUUUUUCGCACGCGACCGUCCAUCUAAUCCCGUUACCUCCUUCCAGCCAAAGAACCGUGUCAAGGCGAGCGUUAUAAAUGCGCCUGACUUCUUUUCUUCUUUUUCUUUUUCUUUUGUUUGUUUGCUUUUCUCUCUUUUUUUUUUUAUAUUUUUAGAAUCGCAUCGUCAUUUAAACGAUAAAAGCGUAAGCAAGAUGUAAGAUGAUAUUGUAACUUGAUUUUUGGAUAAUACCGAUGGAUCGGUAUUAUUGAAGUUGGUUUGGAGGAAUGGCACUGUAUGGAUUGCCGAGGAAAGGAAAAGAGAAAUCAAUAUCCUGAAUUUUUUCGACGAAAAUGAUCUGGAUAAAAAAGCGAAGAAUAACAAUAGAAUAAUUACAUCAUUAGAUCUCUUUCGAAGCUACGCAAUUCUUGCUUGAAAUUUCUCCUACGAUGUAAUAUUGCCAGAUUUAUUUUUGAUUCAGAUCGUGCGAGCACAGAAAUCGGGUUUUAGGAAAGAGCGUGAAAAAGUUUCACACCCCUCGAAGUAUUCCGUGGAGAGGCCUGAAAACAUACGAUGGCGGAAGAUUUGAGGAAAAUAUCUAAGCGAAGAUGAAGUUGAGUUGUGGACCGGGGGCGUAUUUUCGAUAAUCUGGCAUCGAUAAGAUCGAUGCUCGGUGAACUUCUGGCCUCGACUCGAUCAACAGAACAAUUUUUCAUGGCGUUUACACGGUAAUCGGAGCCGAUGGGGCGGACGGAUCGUUAAAGUGCACCUAACCGGCCCUCCUCUCAUCGCGUGCACUUCCUGGGGGACGAUGUUCUUAUCUCUCCGCCCGAUAACAUUGACGAUAGGCCCUAGAAUAGCCAGAUAAGAGGAAUUAUCCCGAGAAAAUUCUACGAAUACUCCGCCCACACACAGCUGCGCCACCGAAAAAUCUCACAGCUGCGUAGAUUUUUCCACUUCGUGAGCGGAUGUAUAUCGGGUGUCAUCAGAAUUAAGGAAUUCUCUUAGUAUGAAGAGUAUGGAGAUCUACAGCAAAUUCAAUAAAAGAAAUGUAAACCAUUUG
Apis laboriosa (Himalayan honeybee) is the source of this 1627-nucleotide long non-coding RNA. RefSeq lists it as uncharacterized. Lineage: Eukaryota; Metazoa; Arthropoda; Insecta; Hymenoptera; Apidae. The transcript has 3 exons. The record is from RefSeq and is a predicted model, not a curated record.